Molecule: ribosomal RNA, 497 nt
Filed under: uncultured bacterium
Lineage: Bacteria
Description: partial 16S ribosomal RNA
Rfam family: Bacterial small subunit ribosomal RNA
Source: RNAcentral
GACGAACGCUGGCGGCGUGCCUAAUACAUGCAAGUUGAGCGAUGAAGAUUGGUGCUUGCACCAAUUUGAAGAGCAGCGAACGGGUGGGUAACGCGUGGGGAAUCUGCCUUUGAGCGGGGGACAACAUUUGGAAACGAAUGCUAAUACCGCAUAACAACUUUAAACAUAAGUUUUAAGUUUGAAAGAUGCAAUUGCAUCACUCAAAGAUGAUCCCGCGUUGUAUUAGCUAGUUGGUGAGGUAAAGGCUCACCAAGGCGAUGAUACAUAGCCGACCUGAGAGGGUGAUCGGCCACAUUGGGACUGAGACACGGCCCAAACUCCUACGGGAGGCAGCAGUAGGGAAUCUUCGGCAAUGGACGAAAGUCUGACCGAGCAACGCCGCGUGAGUGAAGAAGGUUGUCGGAUCGUAAAACUCUGUUGGUAGAGAAGAACGUUGGUGAGAGUGGAAAGCUCAUCAAGUGACGGUAACUACCCAGAAAGGGACGGCUAACUACGUG